AACGAACGCUGGCGGCAUGCCUAACACAUGCAAGUCGAACGAGACCUUCGGGUCUAGUGGCGCACGGGUGCGUAACGCGUGGGAACCUGCCCUUAGGUUCGGAAUAACUCCCCGAAAGGGGUGCUAAUACCGGAUAAUGUCUUCGGACCAAAGAUUUAUCGCGUUUGGAUGGGCCCGCGUUGGAUUAGCUAGUUGGUAGGGUAAAAGCCUACCAAGGCGACGAUCCAUAGCUGGUCGGAGAGGAUGAUCAGCCACACUGGGACUGAGACACGGCCCAGACUCCUACGGGAGGCAGCAGUGGGGAAUAUUGGACAAUGGGCGAAAGCCUGAUCCAGCAAGGCCGCGUGAGUGAUGAAGGCCUUAGGGUUGUAAAGCUCUUUUACCCGGGAUGAUAAUGACAGUACCGGGAGAAUAAGCGCCGGCUAACUCCGUG
Molecule: ribosomal RNA, 433 nt
Filed under: uncultured bacterium
Lineage: Bacteria
Description: partial 16S ribosomal RNA
Rfam family: Bacterial small subunit ribosomal RNA
Source: RNAcentral